RNAcentral lists this ribosomal RNA (754 nucleotides) under Mesobacillus boroniphilus. RNAcentral's name for it is "bacterial SSU rRNA". It matches the Rfam family "Bacterial small subunit ribosomal RNA", at positions 77 to 816 of the family's 1533-position model. The record is from RNAcentral. Lineage: Bacteria; Bacillati; Bacillota; Bacilli; Caryophanales; Bacillaceae.
AGCUUGCUUUUGAAGAUCAGCGGCGGACGGGUGAGUAACACGUGGGCAACCUGCCUGUAAGACUGGGAUAACUUCGGGAAACCGGAGCUAAUACCGGAUAAUCCUUUCCCUCACAUGAGGGAAAGCUGAAAGACGGUUUCGGCUGUCACUUACAGAUGGGCCCGCGGCGCAUUAGCUAGUUGGUGAGGUAACGGCUCACCAAGGCAACGAUGCGUAGCCGACCUGAGAGGGUGAUCGGCCACACUGGGACUGAGACACGGCCCAGACUCCUACGGGAGGCAGCAGUAGGGAAUCUUCCGCAAUGGACGAAAGUCUGACGGAGCAACGCCGCGUGAACGAUGAAGGCCUUCGGGUCGUAAAGUUCUGUUGUCAGAGAAGAACAAGUACCGGAGUAACUGCCGGUACCUUGACGGUACCUGACCAGAAAGCCACGGCUAACUACGUGCCAGCAGCCGCGGUAAUACGUAGGUGGCAAGCGUUGUCCGGAAUUAUUGGGCGUAAAGCGCGCGCAGGCGGUUCCUUAAGUCUGAUGUGAAAGCCCCCGGCUCAACCGGGGAGGGUCAUUGGAAACUGGGGAACUUGAGUGCAGAAGAGGAGAGCGGAAUUCCACGUGUAGCGGUGAAAUGCGUAGAGAUGUGGAGGAACACCAGUGGCGAAGGCGGCUCUCUGGUCUGUAACUGACGCUGAGGCGCGAAAGCGUGGGGAGCGAACAGGAUUAGAUACCCUGGUAGUCCACGCCGUAAACGAUGAGUGC